This 487-nucleotide long non-coding RNA is filed under the name Mytilus galloprovincialis (Mediterranean mussel). The record is from RNAcentral. Lineage: Eukaryota; Metazoa; Mollusca; Bivalvia; Mytilida; Mytilidae.
UAAGGGAGCUACCAUUUGAUUUUUAUGGGGGGCUAGGAUGAAAUUUGAAAAAAUAGGCAGGACAGGAGUUUUGAGUAAAAAAAAAAGGCAGGAUGAGACACUUUGCAAAAAAAAAAAAGGCAGGAUGACAAUUUAAGUAAAAAAAGUCAGGAUAAACUAAUAAAAAAAAGGCAGGACCGAAUAGAGUGGAAAAUAAAAAGGCAGGACAGAGAUUACAACUAAAAAAAAAUGCAGGACAAAAUUUUUCAUCCUAGCCCCCCCAUAAAAAUCAAAUGGUAGCUCCCUAAUGGGUUUUUAUUCAAUAAAAUUGGUGUUUUUUUUUCAGUUUUCUGAUGAUAUCUCAAAAAUGCUUUCACAAAGCAAGGAAUUUUGGUGAAUUGUUUAUAUCUAUUAACAUGAGGUAACUUUCAAUUUUUAUAAAUUUUAGAUUUUACGUUUCCGAGUUAACGGGUUUUAUUAAUUAAAAAGGGGUGAUUUUCCAGUUUUC